GUCCUAGCCCUAAACGAUGUUCAUUAGAUGUGAGAGGUAUCGACCCCUUUCGCGUCGAAGCUAACGCAUUAAAUGAACCGCCUGGGGAGUACGGCCGCAAGGUUGAAACUCAAAGGAAUUGACGGGGGCCCGCACAAGCGGUGGAGCAUGUGGUUUAAUUCGACGCAACGCGAAGAACCUUACCUACCCUUGACAUGUCUAGAAGUUACCAGAGAUGGUUUCGUGCUCGAAAGAGAACUAGAACACAGGUGCUGCAUGGCCGUCGU
Molecule: ribosomal RNA, 266 nt
Filed under: uncultured bacterium
Lineage: Bacteria
Description: partial 16S ribosomal RNA
Rfam family: Bacterial small subunit ribosomal RNA
Source: RNAcentral